This 425-nucleotide ribosomal RNA is filed under the name uncultured Mucilaginibacter sp. RNAcentral describes it as "bacterial SSU rRNA". It matches the Rfam family "Bacterial small subunit ribosomal RNA", at positions 354 to 776 of the family's 1533-position model. Lineage: Bacteria; Pseudomonadati; Bacteroidota; Sphingobacteriia; Sphingobacteriales; Sphingobacteriaceae. The record is from RNAcentral.
GUAAGGAAUAUUGGUCAAUGGGCGCAAGCCUGAACCAGCCAUGCCGCGUGCAGGAAGACGGCCCUAUGGGUUGUAAACUGCUUUUAUACCGGAAUAAACCCUUUCACGUGUGGGAGGUUGAAUGUACGGUAGGAAUAAGGAUCGGCUAACUCCGUGCCAGCAGCCGCGGUAAUACGGAGGAUCCAAGCGUUAUCCGGAUUUAUUGGGUUUAAAGGGUGCGUAGGCGGCCUGUUAAGUCAGGGGUGAAAUUUUCCAGCUCAACUGGAAGCUUGCCUUUGAUACUGACGGGCUUGAAUGCAGCUGAGGUAGGCGGAAUGUGACAAGUAGCGGUGAAAUGCAUAGAUAUGUCACAGAACACCAAUUGCGAAGGCAGCUUACUAAAGUGUGAUUGACGCUGAGGCACGAAAGCGUGGGGAUCAAACAGG